Non-coding RNA from Sus scrofa (pig), 2090 nucleotides. NCBI's taxonomy places the organism in Eukaryota, Metazoa, Chordata, Mammalia, Artiodactyla, Suidae. The record is from RefSeq and is a predicted model, not a curated record.
CAGGCACUCCUCAUGGGGCAUCUCAAAGCCAUUGUUCACACAGCGUCAUACCUGAAGAAAGCAUUAAUAUCCCAUCUUAGCUGUCAGACCUGACCUAGUUUGUGUCCCAUUUCUGCAGGGUUGUUGUAAAUAGCCAGAGUUAAUCUGAUAGACUGAUUUCUAUUAAGGUGACUCUGGCUAGUAAUGCCUCAGUUCUCUUCUCAGAUAUCGUUAUUUUUUUUCCAUGAUGUUUCAUGGUUGAAUCUCAAGGAGUUUGUGAAUUUCAGGUUCCUGGAAAUUCAAGAGGGGGCUGGUCAAGGAGUGACUGACACUUUAUGGGCUGGGCAGCCCCUGCCUCCAGUUCCCCAGCUCAAGGACUUCCACUGCAUGAUUAGUAGUGGGGACUUCAGUCCAUCAGGACUUUUGAGCCUCAGGUAGGCUGAAAAAUAGCCCCCCAAGAGAUACCCAUCUCUGGUCUCUAGAACCUGUGACUGUUACUUUAAGUAGCAAAUGAUGUAAUUAAUUUGAUUAAGUUAAUGAGCGUAUCCUGGUGUACCCAGCUAGGCCUUAAAUGCAAUCACAUGUGACCUUAUAAAGGCAGGCAGAGAAAGCUUUGAGAGAGCCACAGAGGAGGUGAUAUGAAGAUGAAGCAAGGAGAGGUGCAGCCACAAGCCAAGGGAGGCUGAUGGCCCUCAGAAGCUAUAAAGGGAAGAAAUGGACUCUCCCCAAGAGGCUCAGGAAGGAGUGUGACCUGCUGCUGCCUUGACCUCAGACUUCCAGCCUCCAGAACCAAGGUUCUCAACAUAAUUUUAACCUUAUAAACAGUCAUCGCCUGUCACAUGUGAACCUGGUCUUAUUACCUGGAAGCAGGAGGAAGAAGUUCAGAAAUCAACAUAAUCACUGGGGCAACUAGAGUGACUUCCAAAGUGGAAGGGGUGACAUUGCCCUUUGGCCCCCCCAGCAUCUGUUCCUAUUUCCUCCUGCCUGUCAGAACUCAGCCAUCCUGUUGUGCGAGUGGCUUUCAGGAACAUUCCCACAGCCCACCGUGGAAACUCACCUGGUGUCAUCACAUAAAGUGGCAGAUCUAAAUGUUGUGUCAUAAGAUGAAUGUGUUCUGUGACUUUAGGGGAGGAAAAGAGAAGUUUGAAAUGGAGCCAGAAGAUAGUCUGUAGAAAAUUCUUUCCAAUCAAUUUUUAAGAAAGGAUUCAUUGACGUCUACUCAAAGUGAAGUUCUUUACUACUUUGGGAAUACAUAUGAAGAUGCAAUAUAUACUUUUAUGGUUCUGUACCACACAAUGAAAUUAUUUUUCAUGUAUUUGCAUAUGAAGUCAACAGAAAUUAUUCUGACAUCUAAAGGGAACUGGAAUGAAAAGAUCAUUCCAAAAGGAGUAAAUCAUUAGAAGGAAGAGAUCAAUUGCAAAUAGAAAUAAUAAAUAGGCUCUUGGAUUAUGUAAUGAUCCAGUUGAUGAAGAGUGAGCUAUAUGAACAUAUUUGAAAAAAAAAUACACUUCUUUAUGAUUUGUCAGGAAUGUGCAUAUUGACAAAGAUGAUGUAGUGUAUAAUACACUGUGGAUAUUUACCACAAAAUAGUUAACAGUCUGCACCAUCAAUUCAAAACCUUCAAGAUGAGGCACUAAAAAACAACAACAAAAAAACUGGAAAUGCUCUGAAAUCUUAGAAAUGACCAAAACUUUGGGUGAAGUUUCCAAAAUGUAACUAUGAUCCUAAACAUCUAUGGGAUGAUAACCAACGAUGAGCUGAGAAGCAAGACACAAACUUUUCUCCAUUGUUAAUAAACAAAUUUGAUCAAUCGGGCUAGAGGAAUGCAUGGUUUAUCUUUACACGCUCUAGAGAGAAAAUAUUACAAGAUCUUUGUGAUAGAAUGAGGUAGUCCAGGAAUAUGGAGCUUUCCAAAAAUGAAGGAAGAAUCUACAGGGGUGUCAGUUAAGUAAGAAAAGUAUUGUGGAAGUUCCCUUGAGGUGCCUCAGGUUAAGGAUCUGGCAUUGCUGCAGCUGCGGUGCAGUCCACGACUGCAGCGUGUUGUAUGUUUGAUCUGUGGCUAAGUUCCACGUGCUGCAGGAUGGCCAAAAAAAAAAAAAAAAAAAAAAAAA